RNAcentral lists this ribosomal RNA (442 nucleotides) under uncultured bacterium. RNAcentral's name for it is "partial 16S ribosomal RNA". It matches the Rfam family "Bacterial small subunit ribosomal RNA", at positions 338 to 795 of the family's 1533-position model. The record is from RNAcentral.
CCUACGGGUGGCAGCAGUGGGGAAUAUUUGGCAAUGGGCGCAAGCCUGACCCAGCAACGCCGCGUGAAGGAAGAAGGCUUUCGGGUUGUAAACUUCUUUUGUCAUGGAAGAGUAGUAGACGGUACCUGACGCAUAAGCCACGGCUAACUACGUGCGAGCAGCCGAGGUCAUUAGUAGGUGGCACGCGUUGUCCGGAUUUACUGGGUGUAAAGGGCGUGUAGGCGGGUUGACAAGUCAGAUGUGAAAUACUGCGGCUUAACCGCAGAACUGCAUUUGAAACUGUUGGUCUUGAGUACUGGAGAGGCAGACGGAAUUCCUGGUGUAGCGGUGAAAUGCGUAGAUAUUAGGAGGAACACCAGUGGCGAAGGCGGUUUGCUGGACAGCAACUGACGGUGAGGCGCGAAAGCGUGGGGAGCAAACAGGAUUAGAUACCCCUGUAGUC